UGUCUAGUCGUUUCUGGGUCCUAGUCUGA
This 29-nucleotide non-coding RNA is filed under the name Rattus norvegicus (Norway rat). Lineage: Eukaryota; Metazoa; Chordata; Mammalia; Rodentia; Muridae. The record is from RNAcentral.